Molecule: ribosomal RNA, 459 nt
Filed under: uncultured bacterium
Lineage: Bacteria
Description: partial 16S ribosomal RNA
Rfam family: Bacterial small subunit ribosomal RNA
Source: RNAcentral
CCUACGGGAGGCAGCAGUGAGGAAUAUUGGUCAAUGGACGAGAGUCUGAACCAGCCAAGUAGCGUGAAGGAUGACUGCCCUAUGGGUUGUAAACUUCUUUUAUAUGGGAAUAAAACGUUCCACGUGUGGGAUUUUGUAUGUACCAUAUGAAUAAGGAUCGGCUAACUCCGUGCCAGCAGCCGCGGUAAUACGGAGGAUCCGAGCGUUAUCCGGAUUUAUUGGGUUUAAAGGGAGCGUAGGUGGAUUGUUAAGUCAGUUGUGAAAGUUUGCGGCUCAACCGUAAAAUUGCAGUUGAAACUGGCAGUCUUGAGUACAGUAGAGGUGGGCGGAAUUCGUGGUGUAGCGGUGAAAUGCUUAGAUAUCACGAAGAACUCCGAUUGCGAAGGCAGUUCACUGGACUGCAACUGACACUGAGGCUCGAAAGUGUGGGUAUCAAACAGGAUUAGAUCCCCAGUAGUU